Molecule: long non-coding RNA, 339 nt
Organism: Phyllostomus discolor (pale spear-nosed bat)
Lineage: Eukaryota; Metazoa; Chordata; Mammalia; Chiroptera; Phyllostomidae
Exons: 3
Source: RefSeq, a predicted model, not a curated record
GCCCGAAUGCCGGUGUCUUUUCUGGUUACAUAUUUUGGCGACUCCGUGCCGGGACAGACUUUGGGACUCUCCGGUAAGUCUGGGUGUUUGGCGGGGAGUCCCAUUGGCUACCUGGACUCGGAGGCCCUGGGGGUUUGGAGUCAGAGAAUCCCAAGCAGCUGCCAAGUGAUUUCACUUGGGGAUUCUCCUCCCCUCGCUCCCAGCACCUCUCGUCGUGCAUCACACUGGAUGGAAUCCUUGCGCUUUCUGGUUCAGGUUGAAAUCCCGGGUCACAACUUAGGUCAUCUGUUCUGUGCUGGGUACCUUCUGUUUGGAGCUCCGUCAGUGUGAAAGAAUUUC